CCUACGGGGGGCAGCAGUGAGGAAUAUUGGUCAAUGGACGAGAGUCUGAACCAGCCAAGCAGCGUGAAGGAUGACUGCCCUAUGGGUUGUAAACUUCUUUUAUAAGGGAAUAAAACGAGGCACGUGUGCCGUUUUGCAUGUACUUUAUGAAUAAGGAACGGCUAACUACGUGCCAGCAGCCGCGGUAAUACGGAGGAUCCGAGCGUUAUCCGGAUUUAUUGGGUUUAAAGGGAGCGUAGAUGGGUUGUUAAGUCAGUUGUGAAAGUUUGCGGCUCAACCGGAAAAUUGCAAUUGAUACUGGCAGUCUUGAGUACAGUUGAGGUAGGCGGAAUUCGUGGUGUAGCGGUGAAAUGCUUAGAUAUCACGAAGAACCCCGAUUGCGAAGGCAGCUUACUAAACUGUGACUGACAUUGAUGCUCGAAAGUGUGGGUAUCAAACAGGAUUAGAUACCCUAGUAGUC
Molecule: ribosomal RNA, 460 nt
Filed under: uncultured bacterium
Lineage: Bacteria
Description: partial 16S ribosomal RNA
Rfam family: Bacterial small subunit ribosomal RNA
Source: RNAcentral